GGGGAUGUCGCUCAUCUGGGUAGACCGCUCGCAUGAUGAGCGGGAGGUAGGUGGUUAGAGUCCACUCAGACCCG
RNAcentral lists this transfer RNA (74 nucleotides) under Vibrio tapetis subsp. tapetis. It matches the Rfam family "tRNA". From Rfam's summary of the family: Transfer RNA (tRNA) molecules are approximately 80 nucleotides in length. Their secondary structure includes four short double-helical elements and three loops (D, anti-codon, and T loops). The record is from Rfam by way of RNAcentral. Lineage: Bacteria; Pseudomonadati; Pseudomonadota; Gammaproteobacteria; Vibrionales; Vibrionaceae.